RNAcentral lists this ribosomal RNA (468 nucleotides) under uncultured bacterium. RNAcentral's name for it is "partial 16S ribosomal RNA". It matches the Rfam family "Bacterial small subunit ribosomal RNA", at positions 28 to 507 of the family's 1533-position model. The record is from RNAcentral.
GACGAACGCUGGCGGCGUGCUUAACACAUGCAAGUCGAACGGAAAGGCCCUGCUCUUGUGGUGUGCUCGAGUGGCAAAGGGGUGAGUAACACGUGUGUAACCUGCUCUACAUUUUGGUAUAACUUCAGGAAACUGGGGCUAAUACCGGAUAGGAGCCCCCGCCGCGGGGUGGGGGUGGGAAAGUUUGGGCGGUGGGGGUUGGACUCGCGGCUUAUCAGUUUUUUGGUGGGGUAGGGGCUUACCAAGGCUUUGGGGGGUAGCGGGCCUGAGAGGGUGCCCGCCCACAUGGGGACUAGGAUAGGGCCCAGACUCCAAGGGGGGGCAGAGGGGGGAAGUAUGGAAAAUGGGGGGAAGGCCGGUGCAGGCAGCGCGGGGGGGGGAAUGACGGCCUUCGGGUUGAAAACGGUUUCCGCCUUUAACGAGGCGUGUGUGACGGUAAUGGGUAAAGAAGCACCGGCUAACUACGUG